GACGAACGCUGGCGGCGUGGAUUAGGCAUGCAAGUCGAACGGUAUCAUCCUUUCGGGGGUGAGAGAGUGGCGAACUGGUGAGUAACACGUAGGUUAUCUACCCUCAAGACGGGGACAACCCAGGGAAACUUGGGCUAAUACCGGAUGUGAGCAACUUUUAGUUGUUUGAAAGGUGGCGUAAGCUGUCGCUUGGGGAUGAGCCUGCGUCCUAUUAGUUAGUUGGUGAGGUAACGGCUCACCUAGGCAAUGAUAGGUAGGCGGCCUUAACGGGUGGUCGCCCACACUGGGAUUGAGAUACGGCCCAGACUCCUACGGGAGGCAGCAGUCGAGAAUAGUCUACAAUGGUCGGAAGACUGAUAGUGCGACGCCGCGUGAACGAUGAAUCCCUUCGGGGUGUAAAGUUCUUUUAUAUGUGAGCAGUGCUUCUUAUAUUAACAGUAUGGGGAGAGAGAUAUUAGCAUAUGAAUAAGCAACGGCUAACUCCGUAGCCAGCAGCCGCGGUAAAACGU
Molecule: ribosomal RNA, 509 nt
Filed under: uncultured bacterium
Lineage: Bacteria
Description: bacterial SSU rRNA
Rfam family: Bacterial small subunit ribosomal RNA
Source: RNAcentral